Molecule: ribosomal RNA, 450 nt
Filed under: uncultured bacterium
Lineage: Bacteria
Description: partial 16S ribosomal RNA
Rfam family: Bacterial small subunit ribosomal RNA
Source: RNAcentral
GUGGGGAAUAUUGGACAAUGGGCGAAAGCCUGAUCCAGCCAUGCCGCGUGUGUGAAGAAGGUCUUCGGAUUGUAAAGCACUUUAAGUUGGGAGGAAGGGCAGUAAGUUAAUACCUUGCUGUUUUGACGUUUCCGACAGAAUAAGCACCGGCUAACUUCGUGCCAGCAGCCGCGGUAAUACGAAGGGUGCAAGCGUUAAUCGGAAUUACUGGGCGUAAAGCGCGCGUAGGUGGUUUUGUAAGUUGGAGGUGAAAUCCCCGGGCUCAACCUGGGAACUGCCUCCAAAACUGCAUGACUAGAGUACGGUAGAGGGUAGUGGAAUUUCCUGUGUAGCGGUGAAAUGCGUAGAUAUAGGAAGGAACACCAGUGGCGAAGGCGACUACCUGGACUGAUACUGACACUGAGGUGCGAAAGCGUGGGGAGCAAACAGGAUUAGAUACCCUAGUAGUCC